CACCUAGAAGGUGGCAAAUUUGAUUUUGAAAAAUAUAAAUUGGAAAGUUUUCCAGAGGGAAACGUUACAUCUGAUCUAAAUUUAAAUUGUGGUUCAGGUAGAAUAAUUCGUGUCAUGAUAUCGAAUCUUCCAUUUAAAGCCAAUACUAAUGAAAUUUUAGACUUUUUCCAUGGUUAUAAUGUCCUACCUGAUUCAGUUUCAAUACAGUAUAAUGAGGAAGGAUUACCUUUAGGAGAAGCUAUUGUUUCUAUGACAAAUUAUAAUGAAGCUCUGGCUGCUGUUAAAGAUCUAAGUGGUAGACCAGUUGGUCCCCGCAAGGUUAAACUCAGUUUACUUUAGAGGGCCUUUCUAAGUAAGCAUUUUUCUUCCACAGUAUUGAUGUAGUAAAAGUAUAGGUUGUUUUUUUAAGUUUAAAUUAUUUAAAAAGUUUAAGUUGUUUACAGGUUAAAAUGUGUUGUGCAAGUCUGGUUUGCUUAUUAAUGGACAUGUUUUUACUCCAUGAUUUAAAAUUACAUAUGUUUUGUUUUUGAAUGGGGAAUUUCCCGCAUUCAUUUGGUUCCUUGACGUUAUAGAUAAAAUUUAGUCUUGUAAAAAGUGUUGUUACAUUUGUCGAUGGUGAAUUUAUUUUUGACUUUGUUUUUAACAUCUUUUUCUCAGACCAUAUAAGGAAAUGAAGGCUGACUGAUGAAUCAGGAGUGCACAUUGGAGCCACCCUAACACUACGAGGAUAACAGCAGUCUGGACUUGCAGUACUCCUAAAUGUUUUCAAUGUUUCCCAAGUCUCCUUAUUUCUACUUAGCCUAUUUUCCUAACAGAUGACCAUUCAAGAUCAUCAGGUGAGAAUUUUGAACACCUUCCUACAAACUCUUCCACUUUUUUUUUAAUUGAAGUUUUAUU
This is a long non-coding RNA of Mastomys coucha (southern multimammate mouse), 897 nucleotides long. RefSeq lists it as uncharacterized. NCBI's taxonomy places the organism in Eukaryota, Metazoa, Chordata, Mammalia, Rodentia, Muridae. The record is from RefSeq and is a predicted model, not a curated record. The transcript is spliced from 2 exons.